Molecule: long non-coding RNA, 509 nt
Filed under: Eutrema salsugineum
Lineage: Eukaryota; Viridiplantae; Streptophyta; Magnoliopsida; Brassicales; Brassicaceae
Description: long non-coding RNA (ESAL_LNC000603)
Source: RNAcentral
UGGAACGUGCAUUACAAGCUAUCUGAGUAAAUGUACAUCUAUUAACAUCAAACCUUAAGGAUCCCUAGAGGGCCACCUAUAAGACUUAACUCCAUCAUCAAUCGACAUGAGAUAGUAUUUAUUGGUGUGAUGAAAGUAUAUCUUAAAUUGAGAGAGAGAGAGAGGGAGAGAGAGAGAGAGAGGACCUGCGACACUUACACCAGAGAUAUAGGAUUAAAGGGCGUUGAGCCUUUUAGAGACAUAGGCCUUUGCAAAAUACAAGUAGGAGGCUAAGCCAAUGAAGCUGAAACAAGCAAGUAGCCAGUAAAAGUAAUCCAGAUGAGCCUGGUUCAGGUUGUUUGCAAACCAACUCACUUGACCAGAUUGGCUCGUCGCUUUCUCAAUGACUGAUAUCAUGAAACUGCUGAGAAAGCUACCAAUACCGAAUAUGCUUAAAUACAGAGCCAAUCCCACGCUCCUCAGCUCGCUCGGGACCUGGUCGUAGAAGAACUCUUGAAGACCCACCAUCG